UCGUAACAAGGUCUCCGUUGGUGAACCAGCGGAGGGAUCAUUACAGAGUUGCAAAACUCCCAAACCAUUGUGAACGUUACCUUCAAACCGUUGCUUCGGCGGGCGGCCCGGGUCCGCCCGGUGCCCCCUGGCCCCCUCGCGGGGCGCCCGCCGGAGGAAACCCAACUCUUGAUACAUUAUGGCCUCUCUGAGUCUUCUGUACUGAAUAAGUCAAAACUUUCAACAACGGAUCUCUUGGUUCUGGCAUCGAUGAAGAACGCAGCGAAAUGCGAUAAGUAAUGUGAAUUGCAGAAUUCAGUGAAUCAUCGAAUCUUUGAACGCACAUUGCGCCCGCCAGUAUUCUGGCGGGCAUGCCUGUUCGAGCGUCAUUUCAACCAUCAAGCCCCAGGCUUGUGUUGGGGACCUGCGGCUGCCGCAGGCCCUGAAAACCAGUGGCGGGCUCGCUGUCACACCGGGCGUAGUAGAUUUUAUCUCGCUCAGGGCGUGCUGCGGGUUCCGGCCGUUAAAAAGCCUUUUUUACCCAAGGUUGACCUCGGAUCAGGUAGGAAGACCCGCUGAACUUAAGCAUAUCA
Molecule: unclassified non-coding RNA, 572 nt
Filed under: Botryotrichum murorum
Lineage: Eukaryota; Fungi; Ascomycota; Sordariomycetes; Sordariales; Chaetomiaceae
Description: sequence contains 18S rRNA gene, ITS1, 5.8S rRNA gene, ITS2, 28S rRNA gene
Rfam family: 5.8S ribosomal RNA (bases 215-368)
Source: RNAcentral